Molecule: ribosomal RNA, 301 nt
Filed under: uncultured bacterium
Lineage: Bacteria
Description: partial 16S ribosomal RNA
Rfam family: Bacterial small subunit ribosomal RNA
Source: RNAcentral
CAGCCGCCGCGGUAAUACCGAGGGUGCGAGCGUUAAUCGGAUUUACUGGGCGUAAAGCGUGCGUAGGCGGCUUUUUAAGUCGGAUGUGAAAUCCCCGAGCUUAACUUGGGGAUUGCAUUCGAUACUGGGAAGCUAGAGUAUGGGAGAGGAUGGUAGAAUUCCAGGUGUAGCGGUGAAAUGCGUAGAGAUCUGGAGGAAUACCGAUAGCGAAGGCAGCCAUCUGGCCUAAUACUGACGCUGAGGUACGAAAGCAUGGGGAGCAAACAGGAUUAGAUACCCCAGUAGUCCCUGUCUCUUAUAC